GGAACGGGCCUUUCAGGCAUCCUCUCCCAAAAACUUUCCAAGGCCGGUCCUCGCGACCGGCCUUUUUUUUUGGCCUAC
Molecule: small RNA, 78 nt
Filed under: Novosphingobium sp. ST904
Lineage: Bacteria; Pseudomonadati; Pseudomonadota; Alphaproteobacteria; Sphingomonadales; Sphingomonadaceae
Description: Makes More Granules Regulator RNA (mmgR)
Rfam family: Makes More Granules Regulator RNA (mmgR)
About the family: SuhB later renamed mmgR (makes more granules regulator) was a putative non-coding RNA found multiple times in the Agrobacterium tumefaciens genome and related alpha-proteobacteria. Other non-coding RNAs uncovered in the same analysis include: speF, ybhL, metA, and serC. Several studies inSinorhizobium meliloti showed that suhB element is indeed a non-coding RNA:firstly it was detected on Northern blot and called Sm8RNA, secondly in an RNAseq study referred to as SmelC689.
Source: Rfam by way of RNAcentral